GAUGAAGAACGCAGCGAAAUGCGAUAAGUAAUGCGAAUUGCAGAAUUCAGUGAGUCAUCGCAUCUUUGAACGCACAUUGCGCCCUGUGGUAUUCCGCAGGGCAUGCCUGUUCGAGCGUCAUUUCAACCCUCAAGCUCUGCUUGGUGUUGGGCCCUGCCCGCUGCGGCCGGCCCUAAAGACAGUGGCGGUGCCGCCUGGCCCUGAGCGUAGUACAUCUCUCGCUCCAGUGCCCGGUGGUAGCCUGCCAGAACCCCAACUCUCGUGGUUGACCUCGGAUCAGGUAGGGAUACCCGCUGAACUUAAGCAUAUCAAUAAGCGGAGGA
Molecule: unclassified non-coding RNA, 323 nt
Filed under: soil metagenome
Description: partial contains 5.8S ribosomal RNA, internal transcribed spacer 2, and large subunit ribosomal RNA
Rfam family: 5.8S ribosomal RNA (bases 1-120)
Source: RNAcentral